This 68-nucleotide transfer RNA is filed under the name Salmo salar (Atlantic salmon). It matches the Rfam family "tRNA". Rfam says of the family: Transfer RNA (tRNA) molecules are approximately 80 nucleotides in length. Their secondary structure includes four short double-helical elements and three loops (D, anti-codon, and T loops). Lineage: Eukaryota; Metazoa; Chordata; Actinopteri; Salmoniformes; Salmonidae. The record is from Rfam by way of RNAcentral.
CCCUGUGGCUCAGUUGGUAGAGCAUGGUGUUUGCAACGCCAGAGUUGUAGAUUCGAUUCCCACAGGGG